GUUGAGGUCUAUCCGGAUGGGGCUUUUUCUGUAGACCUACAUUGUUGGAAACGCCUCACAGAGUAAUGAGGUUUCCUUUACUCACAGAACUGGCUGUUAGAUCCGUGGGAAAGAACUACAAGACAGAG
This is a small nucleolar RNA of Equus asinus (donkey), 128 nucleotides long. The record is from Ensembl. NCBI's taxonomy places the organism in Eukaryota, Metazoa, Chordata, Mammalia, Perissodactyla, Equidae.